AUUCCUUUGGAAUCUGCCAUCGGGAUAUUAAACCGCAGAACCUCUUGUUGGAUCCUGAUACUGCUGUAUUAAAACUCUGUGACUUUGGAAUGCAAAGCAGCUGGUCCGAGGAGAACCCAAUGUUUCGUAUAUCUGUUCUCGGUACUAUAGGGCACCAGAGUUGAUCUUUGGAGCCACUGAUUAUACCUCUAGUAUAAUGUAUGGUCUGCUGGCUGUGUGUUGGCUGAGCUGUUACUAGGACAACCAAUAUUUCCAGGGGAUAGUGGUGUGGAUCAGUUGGUAGAAAUAAUCAAGUCCUGGGAACUCCAACAAGGGAGCAAAUCAGAGAAAUGAACCCAAACUACACAGAAUUUAAAUUCCCUCAAAUUAAGGCACAUCCUUGGACUAAGUCUUCCGACCCCGAACUCCACCGGAGGCAAUUGCACUGUGUAGCCGUCUGCUGGAGUAUACACCAACUGCCCGACUAACACCACUGGAAGCUUGUGCACAUUCAUUUUUUGAUGAAUUACGGGACCCAAAUGUCAAACUACCAAAUGGGCGAGACACACCUGCACUCUUCAACUUCACCACUCAAAACUGUCAAGUAAUCCACCUCUGGCUACCAUCCUUAUUCCUCCUCAUGCUCGGAUUCAAGCAGCUGCUUCAACCCCCACAAAUGCCACAGC
This 665-nucleotide long non-coding RNA is filed under the name Homo sapiens (human). RNAcentral describes it as "non-protein coding lnc-COX17-2:1". The record is from RNAcentral. Lineage: Eukaryota; Metazoa; Chordata; Mammalia; Primates; Hominidae.